UGGAGCCGCUAGGGAGGAGGAGGAGCAUGAGAAAGAGCGCUUUGAAAGGUAAGCUUCCACGUUGAGCCCUGUGCGCCCCGAGAGUCUGCUUCCAUCUCUCCCGGCCCUGAGGGACCAGCUCCUUGGUCUCUAAGGAUGCCAGCGGCAGGGAACAGAACCCUCAGGAAAAGAAAGCAGGAACCAGAUCCUUUUGCAGAAUGAAGCUGGGAGGAGGCUGGGAAAGGAUGUGACCUGGCAAGGGCGUGUGAGCUGUCUUGGACCACGAGUGCUUGGAUUGGGAGGUGGACCCUCCAGGUUGGACUGAGAACAAGUGGUUUCACAUGGCCGGGAUUCCUCUGUGAGGUCUCACUGCCCCCCCACCCCCGCACCCCCAGGGGCGUUGUGAGGCCAGCCAAGGUUAAGAGAGGUGGAAGCACUUUGCAAAUGAGAAACCUGUCUGGGAGCCUCUCCAUCACUGUCAGGAUUCGUGUGGCCUUGGAUGCUGGGGCUUGGGCGCCAGGCUCCCAAAAGUGUCCCCUAAAGGGACCAGCCUCCUGGAAAACCCUCAUGCCCCUGCCUUCACCACCAUGACCCAGUGUCCUGAUUUCCAGUCUGCAGAGACUGCCUGCAACAGCUGGGACGGGUUCGGGGCCUGAUGGCACGUCUGCAAAGCCACCUGCGCAGAGGCCCUGACAGGGGCCGCUUUCACUACCACUCACGUCCGGACCCCCUUGGCGAGGUGUGCCAGGCAGUGCCCCCUGGAGCCCAGCAGCUGUGCAGGGAGCCUGCACAAGAGGCUCUUCCCACGAUGUCCCCAUCAGCUUCCCCGGCUCCUCUGACCCCUCUGGCCUCCAUCCUGGCAGCAGACCCGCAAGACCAAUGCAACAUCAAGACCAUCCUGCAGGGUCCUGCCGCAAAAACGUCCUCACCUCCAGGCGAAGAGGACGCUACCCUCAUCACCCCCCACAUCCCAGAGCCCUCCUUCACUGUCUAGGGAGUUACCAGGGACUUCGGGUGAAGUAGACGAGGAGACAAAGAAGAAGCAAGAAUGCAGGGGGAACACGAGGAGGAGGAAGAAGAGCCAUUACCAAAAACAGGACUGGGGCCUCCUCUAUAGUUUGGUCACCUAAUUAACAAAUGGAGACCCUGAGGCACAAAACGGUUCACCAAACUACACAUGUGCUUGCUUUCCACAAUGGACUCAGACCACAUGCUGCAACCACAACAUACACAACCUGCGUGAAAGAAUCCUUUUCCUAGGUCAUCCAGAUGAUCUCCCUAGAGCAAAUCAUUUCCACCGCCACCAAGUUGUGGCAUAUGUUACUCUCUGCCCCCUCCCCCCAAAACAUCAUUUUGCCACUUGGAUAAAACAUGCCAGAGCAGAGGACCCUUCUCAGAUAGCAGUUUGUUGUGCUCAUUCAUGCCAUGUUACAAAGGAAAAGAACAAGAGGAGGAAAUCCAAUUUACUAACUUUUAUGAAAAACAGUGCAAUAUAGCGUGAGCCAUUUUGUUCUGGCUAGAACUCCAUCAUGAAAAACACACCUUUCCCUGAAUCUGGAAUUCACCUACACGUCCAAGGCCAUCCAGGCAGAUUUUGAGGGUUGAAGGCAAAAACACUUUCAACCAUCCCUGUAGAUAGAUAGCAUCCCUGCUUUGUCCCCACCCCCCGCUCCCCCCACGCCUUCACCUGAGAGGCACCGAGGUUCUCUCAACGUGAGACCUCUCAGGCCCACCGGUUGGAGUGGAAGACAGCACACCCGGAUACAGGAAGAAAACAUGAGAACUUCCAUUUGGAGUCUUUUUCAUCUCACUCUUUGAAAAUUCCUAUACUUAUAUAAGCUUUGUCAUGCAUCUAAAUUAUAGGACCAUAGAACAUGUGUUUAUUUCACAUGUCAGAGAACUUUUUACUGAGUAAGAAGAUUGAAAGAUUGGAGAACAAUGAUAUGAACCAGAUUCUUGGUCUUUUCUAAGGAGUCAAACCAGAAUCCAAAACAGCCCUGGGGACUGGGCUCUGUCAGGCAAAGCACACGUGUGGCCUGUCCAGGGAGAAGAAGGACCAUGAAGCAACUCUAGAAAAUCUGUUUCAUCAAACUCUGAAAUUCAGAGGGGCCUCCUCAGCCCUGAGUUUCAGCUUGUAGGCAGAAGGCAGAUAACAUGGAGGUGAGUGAACCUUUUCCCCCUGAUUCAUCUGCAAACACCAGGGCAGGGUGUGUGUAUGUGGGGGAAAUAGCACUCGGAUCCAGUUAGAAUACCAUUUAGGAACCUACAGACCCUCCAGGGCCAUCAGAGCUGCAGGGUGUGUGUGGGUGUGUGGGGGUGUACACAUGCAAAAGCAAUGGGGACCUCAGGCAGCAUCUAGCAGGGACUGGUGCACCGCAGCACCCACAGCACCCAGAAGAAUGGCUUUUCCUUAAGAAUGCAACAGGUUGCAUUUACAUUACAUUUUUGGAAGGAU
Phacochoerus africanus (Common warthog) is the source of this 2434-nucleotide long non-coding RNA. RefSeq lists it as uncharacterized. The transcript has 3 exons. Lineage: Eukaryota; Metazoa; Chordata; Mammalia; Artiodactyla; Suidae. The record is from RefSeq and is a predicted model, not a curated record.